Molecule: non-coding RNA, 88 nt
Organism: Kwoniella sp. CBS 9459
Lineage: Eukaryota; Fungi; Basidiomycota; Tremellomycetes; Tremellales; Cryptococcaceae
Source: the annotation of a GenBank genome assembly
UCCGGUAUAGUACAUCGGCUAGUAUAUCCGCCUUUCAAGAUUCGUCUGGUUGUCGCGGGAGAGCGGGGUUCGAUUCCCCGUACCGGAA